AACACGUGGGGAACCUGCCCCAUAGUCUGGGAUACCACUUGGAAACAGGUGCUAAUACCGGAUAAGAAAGCGGAUCGCAUGAUCAGCUUUUAAAAGGCGGCGUAAGCUGUCGCUAUGGGAUGGCCCCGCGGUGCAUUAGCUAGUUGGUAAGGUAAAGGCUACCAAGGCGAUGAUGCAUAGCCGAGUUGAGAGACUGAUCGGCCACAUUGGGACUGAGACACGGCCCAAACUCCUACGGGAGGCAGCAGCC
RNAcentral lists this ribosomal RNA (250 nucleotides) under uncultured Lactobacillus sp. Its description in RNAcentral is "partial 16S ribosomal RNA". It matches the Rfam family "Bacterial small subunit ribosomal RNA", at positions 112 to 355 of the family's 1533-position model. The record is from RNAcentral. Lineage: Bacteria; Bacillati; Bacillota; Bacilli; Lactobacillales; Lactobacillaceae.